This 465-nucleotide ribosomal RNA is filed under the name uncultured bacterium. RNAcentral's name for it is "partial 16S ribosomal RNA". It matches the Rfam family "Bacterial small subunit ribosomal RNA", at positions 329 to 792 of the family's 1533-position model. The record is from RNAcentral.
UGCCAGACUCCUACGGGAGGCAGCAGUGAGGAAUAUUGGUCAAUGGGCGGGAGCCUGAACCAGCCAAGUCGCGUGAGGGACGACGGUCCUAUGGAUUGUAAACCUCUUUUGUCGGGGAACAAAGGCGCCCACGGGUGGGCGGAUGAGUGUACCCGAAGAAAAAGCAUCGGCUAACUCCGUGCCGGCAGCCGCGGUAAUACGGAGGAUGCGAGCGUUAUCCGGAUUUAUUGGGUUUAAAGGGUGCGCAGGCGGCACGGCAAGCCGGCGGUCAAAUCGCGGGGCUCAACCCCGCCCAGCCGUCGGAACUGCCGGGCUAGAGUGGGCGAGAAGUGCGCGGAAUGCGUGGUGUAGCGGUGAAAUGCAUAGAUAUCACGCAGAACUCCGAUUGCGAAGGCAGCGCACCGGCGCCCUACUGACGCUCAGGCACGAAAGCGUGGGUAUCGAACAGGAUUAGAUACCCCUGUA